GUGGGGAGAGCAAAUGGGAUUAGAUACCCUAGUAGUCUUAGCCGUAAACGAUGGUUACUAGGCGUUGUGCAUAUCGACUCGUGCAGUGCUGUAGCUAACGAGUUAAGUAUCUACCU
Molecule: ribosomal RNA, 116 nt
Filed under: Olea europaea subsp. europaea
Lineage: Eukaryota; Viridiplantae; Streptophyta; Magnoliopsida; Lamiales; Oleaceae
Description: SSU_rRNA_eukarya
Rfam family: Bacterial small subunit ribosomal RNA
Source: RNAcentral